Nylanderia fulva is the source of this 683-nucleotide non-coding RNA. The record is from RefSeq and is a predicted model, not a curated record. Lineage: Eukaryota; Metazoa; Arthropoda; Insecta; Hymenoptera; Formicidae.
CGAAGAUGGUGAAACUGGCCUGGAUUUUAAUUUAUAAAUUCUAAUAAUAUACAUUCAUCCAUGUAUCGGAUUUCUCAUCGUGUUGAUGUAUACAUAUAUGUAUAUAUAUAAGUAUAUGCAGAGGUUAACGAGAUGCCUCCCCACGCAAGAAAAACCCGAUCGACGAUGUAAAAAUAACGAACGUUUUCUACACAUCGUCGAGUAACCAGUACGACGUGCGUAUUUUGCACUUCCUCGUCAUCACCGACGCGAUCUCUCUGUCAUUACAAUGUAAUUGUAAUUUACGACCGAGAAGAGAUUGGAGAGGAACAAAUUAGCAAAAGAAACAAAGUUAAUAGAUAUAUAUUAGCUAAUGUUCGAGAGACGCCACACCGAGGAUCAUUGAUCAAUGAUUCGCAAGUAAACAGACGAUCUUAUUUAAAAGAGCACCUCUCUAGAAAUUACGACGGCAUCUAGACUGCAAGUCGCGUCAUAAAUCAAGAAAGAUGAUGUGCAUGAUUGAAACGACGGGAGGCUCCGCAGGGGUUAAUACACCGAGGGUGUAUGUGCAACAGCGGCCGGCUUCUCGGAGAUAUUCGAAGCCGAGAGUGUGGUCCAUGCUACGUCCUCUCUCUACUUAUCUUCGUGAUAGAGGAAAGGUAGGCAAGAAGACGAAGAAAAUGUGUGGGAGCACACACGUAAGU